RNAcentral lists this ribosomal RNA (467 nucleotides) under uncultured bacterium. RNAcentral describes it as "bacterial SSU rRNA". It matches the Rfam family "Bacterial small subunit ribosomal RNA", at positions 337 to 796 of the family's 1533-position model. The record is from RNAcentral.
UCCUACGGGAGGCAGCAGUAGGGAAUCUUCGGCAAUGGGGGCAACCCUGACCGAGCAACGCCGCGUGAGUGAAGAAGGUUUUCGGAUCGUAAAGCUCUGUUGUAAGAGAAGAACGUGUGUGAGAGUGGAAAGUUCACACAGUGACGGUAACUUACCAGAAAGGGACGGCUAACUACGUGCCAGCAGCCGCGGUAAUACGUAGGUCCCGAGCGUUGUCCGGAUUUAUUGGGCGUAAAGCGAGCGCAGGCGGUUUAAUAAGUCUGAAGUUAAAGGCAGUGGCUUAACCAUUGUUCGCUUUGGAAACUGUUAGACUUGAGUGCAGAAGGGGAGAGUGGAAUUCCAUGUGUAGCGGUGAAAUGCGUAGAUAUAUGGAGGAACACCGGCGGCGAAAGCGGCUCUCUGGUCUGUAACUGACGCUGAGGCUCGAAAGCGUGGGGAGCAAACAGGAUUAGAUACCCUGGUAGUCC